Molecule: non-coding RNA, 151 nt
Organism: Pelobates cultripes (western spadefoot toad)
Lineage: Eukaryota; Metazoa; Chordata; Amphibia; Anura; Pelobatidae
Source: the annotation of a GenBank genome assembly
GAAAAUAAGGUGCACUCACAGGUCUUCAAAUGCACUUAUUUUUAUUUUACAUGAAAAUUUACAUGUGCAAAAAAAUCUACAAUGUAGAUUUUUUUGCACAUGUAAAAUAAAAAUGAGCACAUUUGAAGACCUGUGAGUGCACCUUAUUUUC